UUACGGAAGGCAGCAGUGAGGAAUAUUGGACAAUGGGCGCAAGCCUGAUCCAGCCAUGCCGCGUGCAGGAUGACGGUCCUAUGGAUUGUAAACUGCUUUUAUACAGGAAGAAACCCUACUUUGCGAAGUAGAUUGACGGUACUGUAAGAAUAAGGAUCGGCUAACUCCGUGCCAGCAGCCGCGGUAAUACGGAGGAUCCAAGCGUUAUCCGGAAUCAUUGGGUUUAAAGGGUCCGUAGGCGGUUUAAUAAGUCAGUGGUGAAAUCUUGUAGCUCAACUAUAAAAUUGCCAUUGAUACUGUUAGACUUGAAUUAUUAAGAAGUAACUAGAAUAUGUAGUGUAGCGGUGAAAUGCUUAGAGAUUACAUGGAAUACCAAUUGCGAAGGCAGGUUACUAUUAAUACAUUGACGCUGAUGGACGAAAGCGUGGGUAGCGAACAGGAUUAGAUACCCCUGUAGUCC
RNAcentral lists this ribosomal RNA (460 nucleotides) under uncultured bacterium. RNAcentral describes it as "bacterial SSU rRNA". It matches the Rfam family "Bacterial small subunit ribosomal RNA", at positions 339 to 796 of the family's 1533-position model. The record is from RNAcentral.